CCUACGGGAGGCAGCAGUGGGGAAUCUUGCGCAAUGGGCGAAAGCCUGACGCAGCAACGCCGCGUGCGGGAAGAAGGCCUUCGGGUUGUAAACCGCUUUCAGCAGGAACGAAAAUGACGGUACCUGCAGAAGAAGGUGCGGCCAACUAUGUGCCAGCAGCCGCGGUGAUACAUAGGCACCAAGCGUUGUCCGGAUUUAUUGGGCGUAAAGAGCUCGUAGGCGGUUCAGUCAGUCGGGUGUGAAAACUCUGGGCUUAACCCAGAGCCUGCACCCGAUACUGCUGUGACUAGAGUUCGGUAGGGGAGCGGGGAAUUCCUGGUGUAGCGGUGAAAUGCGCAGAUAUCAGGAGGAACACCGAUGGCGAAGGCACCGCUCUGGGCCGAAACUGACGCUGAGGAGCGAAAGCAUGGGUAGCAAACAGGAUUAGAUACCCUGGUAGUCCAUGCGUAACGUUAGGUCGACUAGGUGUGGUUCGUACUACAACGAAUCCGCGCCGUCGCUACGCAUAGUGCCCGCCGUGGGAGGUACGGUCGCGAGAACGUAAACGUUAAAGGUAAGUUAGUUACGGCGUGAGACGUGCCGACGGCGACGACGAGGGGAGGUUAGG
This 607-nucleotide ribosomal RNA is filed under the name uncultured bacterium. Its description in RNAcentral is "bacterial SSU rRNA". The stretch from base 1 to 517 matches the Rfam family "Bacterial small subunit ribosomal RNA", at positions 338 to 873 of the family's 1533-position model. The record is from RNAcentral.